RNAcentral lists this ribosomal RNA (494 nucleotides) under Bacillus sp. S-C1. Its description in RNAcentral is "bacterial SSU rRNA". It matches the Rfam family "Bacterial small subunit ribosomal RNA", at positions 1 to 499 of the family's 1533-position model. The record is from RNAcentral. Lineage: Bacteria; Bacillati; Bacillota; Bacilli; Caryophanales; Bacillaceae.
UGAGCUUGAUCCUGGCUCAGGACGAACGCUGGCGGCGUGCCUAAUACAUGCAAGUCGAGCGAAUGGAGGGGAGCUUGCUCCCUGAAGUUAGCGGCGGACGGGUGAGUAACACGUGGGCAACCUCCCUGUAGACUGGGAUAACAUCGAGAAAUCGGUGCUAAUACCGGAUAAUCAAAGGAAUCACAUGGUUCUUUUGUAAAAGAUGGCUUCGGCUAUCACUAUAGGAUGGGCCCGCGGUGCAUUAGCUAGUUGGUGAGGGUAGAGGCUCACCAAGGCAACGAUGCAUAGCCGACCUGAGAGGGUGAUCGGCCACACUGGGACUGAGACACGGCCCAGACUCCUACGGGAGGCAGCAGUAGGGAAUCUUCCGCAAUGGACGAAAGUCUGACGGAGCAACGCCGCGUGAGUGAUGAAGGUUUUCGGAUCGUAAAGCUCUGUUGUUAGGGAAGAACAAGUACCGUUCGAAUAGGGCGGUACCUUGAACGUACCAACCA